Molecule: ribosomal RNA, 253 nt
Filed under: uncultured bacterium
Lineage: Bacteria
Description: partial 16S ribosomal RNA
Rfam family: Bacterial small subunit ribosomal RNA
Source: RNAcentral
UACGUAGGUGGCUAGCGUUGUCCGGAUUUACUGGGCGUAAAGAGCGCGCAGGCGGUCGUUCAAGUCGAGUGUGAAAGCCCCCGGCUCAACUGGGGAGGGUCACUCGAUACUGAUCGACUUGAAGGCAGGAGAGGGAAGCGGAAUUCCCGGUGUAGUGGUGAAAUGCGUAGAUAUCGGGAGGAACACCAGUGGCGAAGGCGGCUUCCUGGCCUGUUCUUGACGCUGAGGCGCGAAAGCUAGGGGAGCAAACGGG